UGGGAGGAUCCAAUGAUGGAGACCUAGGUGGAGGCGACGGGAAAUCUGCAGCUGGAGGAGCCCGCAGCUGAAGGACCUCAUGAUAGAGGCGUAGGUGGAGGAGGCCACGACAAGGAGUGCGAGUAACCUACAACGAAGGAGCCGGAGCAGCUUUCUCUUUCCUCCUGGAAGGUAAAUCUUGUUUCUUUCUCCAUGUGUUAUGCUUAAUUUGCUUAUCAAUUUGUAUUUAUUCCCAUGUCUGAUGGAAUGGUUGAACCAAGAAACUGAAAGCUAAGCUAGUUAUCCCUUUUUUCAUCUUUUGUUGCAUUCAAGUAAUGAAAUGUUAUAAUCUGUAUGCCUACCAUGUGAUUUAUGGAAAUGCUCUUGGGUGUCCAUAUUGGUGUAGCAUUUUCUUUUUCACAAAGAUACUAUUUUAUAAGAACAAGGGUCCCAUACUGGAGCAUUUUUCUUUCACUUGGUUGAGUAAUACUUUAAUCUUUGCUGUGAAAGAAUGGUAUUCCUACAAAUUUUUUUGGCAAAUAUUAAAUUCUUGAUUUUGUUGGUCACUGGAAGUGUUAUGCUUUGUUUCUCUUUCUGUGUUUGUCCUGUUUUUAAAACACUACAAGAUAAAAACAAUGUUAUGACUAAUAAUUAUAAUAUUUCAAAUACAGCUAGUUAAUAUGUCAGACUGCACUUGGAUGUAUAGUGGCUGGCAGCGUGGUAAAGCACCCUCUAGUGAAUGGAUGGAUGAAACCACUAAAUUCUUGGACCAUGCAUUUUCCAAUAUGGAUGUAGCUAAGAAUGACACCAUCAAGUGUCCUUGUGCCAUGUGCCGAAACUAUUUCGGUCUCAAAAAGGAUAUUGUAGCGAUACACUUGUGCAAGCAUGGUUUUAGGGAGGGUUAUGAAACAUGGACGGAGCAUGGGGAGAGUCAUAUUAGGCAUCAUGAAGGUGAUAGCAUUGCAAACGGGGAGGGUUUUGAUGAGGUUGAUCGAAUGGAUCGAAUGCUGAUUGAUCUAGCUGGGGAUAAUCCACCUAUAGUAGAUGAACAAUCGACACCAUUUGCCAAAGCUUAUUAUAGGAUGGUUGAUAGUGCGAGUGAGUUGGUGCAUGACAAGACCACACACUCUAGGUUAUCUGCUGUUGCUCGCUUGCUUGCCGUGAAGUCACGACAUAACAUGUCAAUUGCAUAAUAUGAUGAUAUAAUGGGCAUAAUACAUGAACUUCUUCCUCCAGAUUCUAAUUUGCCUAAUGACUUCUACCAAUCAAAGAAACUACUAGAGGGUCUUGGUAUGUCGUAUGUGAAAAUUGAUGUUUGUUAUAACAAUUGCAUGCUCUUCUACAAAGAGAAUGCAAGUAAGGAGAAAUGUGAUGUUUGUGGUGAAAACCGGUAUGUCGAAGGUCGGCGAAAAAAGGUUCCACGCAAAGUUCUACGGUACCUACCCAUCAAAGAUAGGCUGCAAAGGUUGUAUGCACAUGUGGAUACAGCCAAGCUAAUGCGGUCACCUAGUCCAUCAACAUCUGGUAAGAUGGUGCACCCUUGUGAUGGAGAAGCUUGGUAGCAAUUUGAUCGAGACUUUCCAGAGUUUUCAAAGGAUAGAAGAAAUGUGCGGCUUGCUUUAUCAACCGAUGGUUUCACACCAUUUAGUAUAAAUGCUGCCCCGUACUCAUGCUGGCCAGUCUUUGUGACGCCAUUAAAUCUGCCUCCUGGCACACUCUUAAGGCCAGAGUAUAUAUUUCUUGCCCUUAUUGUUCCUGGCCCUAAGCAUCCUGGUAAAAAGUUGAAUGUUCUAAUGCAGCCCUUAGUUGAUGAACUUCAAACAUUGUGGGAAGGGGUUGACACAAUCGAUGCUUCGACAAAGCGUAGUUUCAAAAUGAAGGCAGCAUACCUUUGGUCCGUACAUGACUUCAUGGCAUAUGGAGACUUUGCUGGAUGGAGCACCCAUGGUAGAUUGUCAUGCCCGUAUGGAUAUGGCUGCAUGGGUUUCCUACUAAAGAAUGGUCAUAAGGCUUGUUGGUUUGACCGUCAUAGGCGCGUCUUGCCUACAGACCAUGUGUUUAGGCAACAAGCUAAUGCAUUUCGUAAGAACACAACAGUGUUGGAUGAGCCACCUAGGAGGUUGACAGGGGAUGAACUCCAGGCCAAUGCAACUAGACUUGCAGGUGACAAGUCCUUUGGUAAAUUGCACAAUUGGACACAUGUACUUUGCUUUAGACAGCUUCCAUAUUUCUCCAAGUUACUUCUUCCACAUAAUAUUGAUGUGAUGCAUAAUGAAAAGAAUGUGAGUGAAGCCAUAUGGAACACAUGCUUUGACAUAGCUAGUAAGACAAAAGAUAAUGUCAAAGCUAGGCUAGAUUUAGCUAUGAUUUGUAACCGGCCUUCGCUAAAUUUGGUCCAAAAGAACAAUGGGAAGUGGGACAGGCCUAGAGCUCCAUUCUGCAUUGCCAAAGAGGACAAGCCAACCAUUCUCCAAUGGUUUAAAGAAUUGAAGUUUCCUGAUGCAUAUGCAGCCAACAUUAGGCGUGGUGUGGAUAUGGAAAAUAAGAGGAUUCUUGGCGUAAAAAGUCACGACUACCACAUCUUUAUUGAAAGAUUGCUUGCAGUUGUGUUCCGUGGAUUUGUACCAGAUAAUGUAUGGCGCUCUUUGGCUGAGCUUAGUUACUUCUAUCGACAAUUGUGUGCCAAAGAACUUAGUAAAGAUGUUGUUCACUCUUUAGAACAGAAUGUUGUAGUUCUUCUUUGCAAAUUAGAGAAGAUAUUCCCUCCUGGAUUCUUCAAUGUUAUGCAACAUCUAAUCAUCCAUCUGCCUUAUGAGGCACGAUUGGGAGGGCCAGUUCUAGCCCGUUGGAUGUAUCCAUAUGAGAGGUAAAUCUAAAACAUAUCUACAUGUCAAUUGAGGUUCAUUAGUUUUUUAUCUGUAAUCUGUUCCUCUUAUUUCAUAGGUUUAUCAACAAAAUUAAGAAGAAAGUAAGAAAUAAGGCACAUGUUGAGGCUGCUAUUGCUUAGGCAUUUCUAGUUGAAGAGGCUACAAAUUUUCUUACUCUAUAUUUCAAAUCCACUGCACCUUCUAUUAGAAACAAGAUGCCACGAUAUGAUGAUGGCUCAUCUACAUUUGAAGCUACAUCUGACCUUGAAAUUUUUAAAUGCUCGGGUCGAUGCAUCAGCCCAAGGGUUAUUCGUAGCCUCUCAAAUGAGGAGUACAAGGUUGCUUUCUUGUACAUACUAACAAACAUACCUGAGAUGGAUGAUUUCUUUAUGUAAGUUAUAAAAAUUACAUGAGUAGAGUUUUCCCAAAUAACCUGGACCUUUCAUGUGAGUUGAGUAUUGUUUCUACUUGUAGACAAUUUGAUAAAGAGCAGUGGAAGAGCCGAUCUGAUCCCACUGAACAGCAACUUCGUGAUUUGAGAUUAAAUGGUUGGAAAAAUGCACGUGCCAAACAGUUUGGGCCAAAUUUUUUUGUUUGGUUUAAACAGAAAGUAAUACUCUUAUCUAUCAAUUUGUUUUUAUUGAAUAAUAAAGAAUGCUAAAAUGUUUAACUUAGAUUUUUCUUUGUUUCAGUGCAUGAAAUCAGUUAGCAUUCACAAUGUUCUAUCCCAGUUAUCUUAUGGUUUCUCCACUCAAGUUACCUCCUAUGGUUGUUACGAUGUUAAUGGAUAUAGAUUCCGUUCAGAGAAAUAUGAGAGGGGAAGACCUGGGUUAACAACCAUCAAUACUGGUGUUUGUGUUACUUCCUAUGAUGAAAACAACAAUGCCCUUGAGUAUUAUGGUGUCAUAGAAGAUAUCAUAAAAAUCGAAUGGGAAGGCUGUUCGAAACUAGAAUUAGUUUUAUUUUAUUGUCGCUGGUUUGAUCCAACACCUAAUGGAUUGAGGCGUACAGAAGAUUUAGGCUUAGUUGAGGUCAAGCAUGCAUUAAGGUUGAAAAGUUUUGACCCAUUUGUGAUGGCUAGUCAAGUUACUCAAGUUUAUUAUCUAUCUUACCCAUGUAAGGAUAAGAAUUUAUCUCAAUGGUGGGUUGUCAACCAAGUUGCUCCUCAUGGAUGUGUACCUCUAAAUGGUGCAAAUGAUGACUCCACGAGUUCUGAACAUAUAAUACAUGAUGUCUAUCAAGAAGAUGGAUUGGAUGGUACCUUUAUUAUUGAUUUGGGGGAAGCAUUGGAUUCUUUAGUAUCUAUGAGCUCAGAUGAGAUUACUGAUGUGGCAGACUUGGAGACAAUAGAGAAAGCCACGGUUGAGGAUGAGGAGUAUGAUGAAGAAGCUACUGAUGAAGAGGGUAACACUACAGAGGAAGAGGAUGAAUCAGACAAAGAGACUGAUGAUCAAGAUGAUUAUUGAAUUUUUGCUCAUGAAUUUUUAGUGCUGUAAUACUAUGGUUUAUCACUAGGAUACAAUGUAUCUUAUUUUGAUAUUAGAUCUGAACUGAGUGUUAUGUAAUCUGAACUUGGUGGCUCUAAAUCUGAAUUUGGCGUUUUACUUUUAAUAUUACAUCUACACUUUUAUUAUUAAAUCUGAACUGCAGCUACUGUAUUUUACUUUUAAUAUUAAACUCCGAACUGCAGCUACUAUGUUUUACUUUUAAUAUUGCAUACAUUUGUUCAGUUUUUGUGUUCAUGUAUACUUAUUGAAUACAAUAUUCUAAUUCACUGUUCCUUUGCAGAUGGCUCGUGGAAUUUGUCAUGCACGUAGAAAUCGACUUCCUAGGAGGCAUGACACUUCUGAAGGAACAACCACCCAAACAAGUGCAUCUCAAGGAACAACCACUACUGAUGGCUCACAAAGGACUAGACCUGCUAGCCCUCACGAAGUAGAACCUCCUAAAAAACGAGGAAGGACGCCGGGGAAGAGAACCAAAUUAAAACCACUUCCACUAACUGGCCGAGUGGCUCUUAUACCAAGCGGUGACUCGUGAGUAAACUACCAA
This 4898-nucleotide long non-coding RNA is filed under the name Sorghum bicolor (sorghum). RNAcentral describes it as "long non-coding RNA (SBIC_LNC005715)". The record is from RNAcentral. Lineage: Eukaryota; Viridiplantae; Streptophyta; Magnoliopsida; Poales; Poaceae.